UACGUAGGGGCGAGCGUUGUCCGGAAUGAUUGGGCGUAAAGGGCGCGUAGGCGGCUUUGCAAGUCAGUAGUGGAAGUCCAUUUUUCAAGGAUGGAAGUGCUACAGAAACUGCGGAGCUUGAGUGCAGGAGAGGUUAUCGGAAUUCCCGGUGUAGCGGUGAAAUGCAUAGAGAUCGGGAGGAACACCAGUGGCGAAGGCGGGUAACUGGACUGCAACUGACGCUGAGGCGCGAAAGUGUGGGGAGCAAACAGGAUUAGAUACCCU
Molecule: ribosomal RNA, 264 nt
Filed under: uncultured prokaryote
Description: partial 16S ribosomal RNA
Rfam family: Bacterial small subunit ribosomal RNA
Source: RNAcentral